This 253-nucleotide ribosomal RNA is filed under the name uncultured bacterium. RNAcentral describes it as "partial 16S ribosomal RNA". It matches the Rfam family "Bacterial small subunit ribosomal RNA", at positions 524 to 776 of the family's 1533-position model. The record is from RNAcentral.
UACGGAGGGUGCGAGCGUUACCCGGAUUUACUGGGCGUAAAGGGCGUGUAGGCGGUUUUCUAAGUCCGGGGCUAAAGACCAGGGCUCAACCCUGGGUUUGCCUUGGAUACUGGAAAGCUCGAGGGCUGGAGGGGGCAGCGGAAUUUCCGGAGUAGCGGUGAAAUGCGCAGAUACCGGAAGGAACGCCAAUAGCGAAGGCAGCUGCCUGGACAGAACGUGACGCUGAGGCGCGAACGCGUGGGGAGCAAACCGG